UCUAUAGUGAUUUUUCAACAUUUGCUGUUAUUGUACAUGAUUAUAUUUUAUGGUUGACAGGCCUUUAUCCAAAACUGUGAGGUUCAAUGUAUUGAAGGUGAUUCCAGCCGGUUCUGGUGGUGUUGGGAAAAAAGCUUUUACCGGAAUGUGAACUUGAGUGUUUCUAUUUUGAUGUUUACAUCUAGGAAUGAUGUCAAGGCAUAUCUGCUUUUGCUGAAUUUUAGUCUUCAUUGAUAUUCCUUUUUGAGAUUCAAAUUUUGAAACUUUAUGCUAGUAGUAACAAGCUUUUCUUUCCUAUUGAGAUUUGAGCCCAUAUAUGUACUGUUCAUCUUGUGAGAGGUUUGGUGCUUGAACCUUCUUUAAAAAAAA
This 369-nucleotide unclassified non-coding RNA is filed under the name Hevea brasiliensis (rubber tree). Lineage: Eukaryota; Viridiplantae; Streptophyta; Magnoliopsida; Malpighiales; Euphorbiaceae. The record is from RNAcentral.